UACGUAGGGGGCAAGCGUUGUCCGGAAUCAUUGGGCGUAAAGCGCGCGUAGGCGGCCCGGUAAGUCCGCUCUGAAAGUCCAGGGCUUAACCCUGGAAAGCGGGUGGAUACUGCCGGGCUUGAAUCCGGAAGAGGCGAGUGGAAUUCCUGGUGUAGCGGUGGAAUGCGCAGAUAUCAGGAGGAACACCGAUUGCGAAGGCAGCUCGCUGGGACGUCACUGACGCUGAGACACGAAAGCGUGGGUAGCAAACAGG
This 253-nucleotide ribosomal RNA is filed under the name uncultured bacterium. RNAcentral's name for it is "partial 16S ribosomal RNA". It matches the Rfam family "Bacterial small subunit ribosomal RNA", at positions 524 to 776 of the family's 1533-position model. The record is from RNAcentral.